GGGUCAGUGGGUUGGUCGUGCCACCGGUACGUACUGGUCUCACUGAUUCCUCCUUCCUGAAGAACCGUAAUGCCAUUAAUUUGGUGUUGCGGGGAAACAGGACUGUUACUUUGAAAAAAUUAGAGUGUUUAAAGCAGGCUAACGCUUGAAUACAUUAGCAUGGAAUAAUGAAAUAGGACGAUCGAUCCUAUUUUGUUGGUUUCUAGGAUUGACGUA
Molecule: ribosomal RNA, 216 nt
Filed under: Glomeromycotina sp.
Lineage: Eukaryota; Fungi; Glomeromycota
Description: partial small subunit ribosomal RNA
Rfam family: Eukaryotic small subunit ribosomal RNA (bases 40-216)
Source: RNAcentral